This 497-nucleotide ribosomal RNA is filed under the name uncultured bacterium. Its description in RNAcentral is "partial 16S ribosomal RNA". It matches the Rfam family "Bacterial small subunit ribosomal RNA", at positions 28 to 507 of the family's 1533-position model. The record is from RNAcentral.
GAUGAACGCUGGCGGCGUGCCUAAUACAUGCAAGUCGAGCGAACAGACGAGGAGCUUGCUCCUCUGACGUUAGCGGCGGACGGGUGAGUAACACGUGGAUAACCUACCUAUAAGACUGGGAUAACUUCGGGAAACCGGAGCUAAUACCGGAUAAUAUAUUGAACCGCAUGGUUCAAUAGUGAAAGACGGUUUUGCUGUCACUUAUAGAUGGAUCCGCGCCGCAUUAGCUAGUUGGUAAGGUAACGGCUUACCAAGGCAACGAUGCGUAGCCGACCUGAGAGGGGGAUCGGCCACACUGGAACUGAGACACGGUCCAGACUCCUACGGGAGGCAGCAGUAGGGAAUCUUCCGCAAUGGGCGAAAGCCUGACGGAGCAACGCCGCGUGAGUGAUGAAGGUCUUCGGAUCGUAAAACUCUGUUAUUAGGGAAGAACAAAUGUAUAAGUAACUAUGCACGUCUUGACGGUACCUAAUCAGAAAGCCACGGCUAACUACGUG